RNAcentral lists this unclassified non-coding RNA (20 nucleotides) under Mus musculus (house mouse). RNAcentral describes it as "oocyte_clustered_small_RNA4807". Lineage: Eukaryota; Metazoa; Chordata; Mammalia; Rodentia; Muridae. The record is from RNAcentral.
UGUACCGGGCCAAAUAUGUU